Pyrus x bretschneideri (Chinese white pear) is the source of this 1230-nucleotide long non-coding RNA. RefSeq lists it as uncharacterized. The record is from RefSeq and is a predicted model, not a curated record. The transcript is spliced from 4 exons. NCBI's taxonomy places the organism in Eukaryota, Viridiplantae, Streptophyta, Magnoliopsida, Rosales, Rosaceae.
AAAAUCUAAUCUUUAUAUCCCCAUCUCAGCAUUUUAGCAGGUUUACGAAAUCUCCACGAGAUUUGAGCCUACGAACGGUUAGUUAACAGUCGACCAUGGCGUGGGAAGUAAGAAGAGGGAGAGAGGUCUCACAUGAGAGUAAGAGCCUUGUUUGGUAGCCAAGGAUGACUUGCCUGCUCUACCUAGAGAGACGAAUUCCAAUCUGUGUUCUGAGUGAGGAAACUCCAGUUUGGCUAGGCAGGCUUCCUGGCUAAGUUGACCGGCACUUCUUCCUCAUGCCAGGCCAAAAUUGGGGAAAUUAGGACUCUCUCAUAAAAAAAGACCACUCAAUAUACGUACCAUGGAAGAAGAAUUAGUCCUAAAAAUGGGUGAUUGACACGCCUACGCCAGAAAGUCGGAGACCCCAUUAAAGCCAGGUGGGCCCCAUUCUUGUCAACAGAAGCAACGGCUGGAUUUCCUCCCUUAUAUAAAUCUAUUUGGCGGGAGAUGUCGUUUCUGUAAUUUAAGGAACUCCAAUCGGAUUGGUGCUCCCCACUCGCCCCCAAAACAAUAUCAUUACCUCAUGUAGAACAAAUGGCUGAAUGAAUUAAAGACAAAAUCAAGCAAAAGAAAACUAAGGGACGCAAUGGAAAUUUUCAAAUUUGGCGUUAGAGCUCAAAUUUGGGCUCAUGAUACCUUUCCAGAAAAAGAACGACUGCCCGGUUCAAAUUUACAACUUUGACUUGAUGUACAACAUGUUUUAGCCAUUCGAGGUCAUUUAGGUUUCCCAAAAAGCAAUUUAAUUUCUGUAAUAAAAAUUAGACUUUGUUUCACGUUGGAUUAUUGUCAUUGUGUGUUGGCCAACAGAACAACACCGACCCGGAAUUUGAAUUUCAAUGUACGAAUUUACAUUGCUUUCUGGGGGGUUUAGUUUUACUUAAAUUUGAAUGUUGAAGUAACAUAUAUAUCUUCAAAAGCAUCUAACUUGGUUUCUUUUGAUUGAUUUUCGGUGCAGAGCCCCGAUGGGUUAACUGCGGUAUCAGCCGUCGGACAGGAGACACUUCGAUUAUGGGAGAUCUUCGGACCACCAAGCAUUGACAAAAUCUCUCCUCCGGAUACUCUCUUAUACGUCAAGGUGGAUACAAGAUGUAGUUAGUUUAUAGAGAGAAGAAAAUGUACAUGAACAGCUCUAUAUAUUGUUGGAAACCACAGAGAAAUAUACAUGUCAUAUGCCUAAGUUCUAUCUGCUCA